UACGUAGGUGGCAAGCGUUGUCCGGAUUUAUUGGGUUUAAAGGGCGCGUAGGCGGCUUGGUCAGUCCCGUGUGAAAUCCCUCGGCUCAACUGAGGAACUGCACGGGAAACUGCCUGGCUUGAGUUCGGGAGAGGGAAGCGGAAUUCCGGGUGUAGCGGUGAAAUGCGCAGAUAUCAGGAGGAACACCAAUUGCGAAGGCAGCUCGCUGGGACGUUACUGACGCUGAGACGCGAAAGCGUGGGGAGCAAACAGG
This 253-nucleotide ribosomal RNA is filed under the name uncultured bacterium. RNAcentral's name for it is "partial 16S ribosomal RNA". It matches the Rfam family "Bacterial small subunit ribosomal RNA", at positions 524 to 776 of the family's 1533-position model. The record is from RNAcentral.